CAUAUAAUGCAAACAAAAGAACUUGGCACCUGCCCAGUACGGCAGAUUGGAGGUUGCUCUUUCUUUUACAUGAGAAUUAGCAAUGUCUACAUUGUGAUUGUUGUCAGCAGCAAUGCUAAUGUGGCUUUUGCAUUCAAGUUUGUCGUUGAGGCUGUUACAUUGUUUAAAUCAUACUUUGGUGGGGCUUUUGAUGAAGAUGCCAUCAGAAAUAAUUUUGUCCUGAUUUAUGAGCUGUUGGAUGAAAUCAUGGACUUUGGUUACCCACAAAAUCUGUCUCCUGAGAUUUUAAAGCUUUACAUCACUCAGGAAGGAGUGCGCUCACCGUUUUCAUCCAAGCCUACAGAUAAACCCGUUCUUAAUGCAACGUUGCAAGUCACAGGUGCUGUUGGUUGGCGGAGAGAGGGCCUUGUUUAUAAAAAGAAUGAGGUUUUUCUUGAUAUUGUGGAAAG
Molecule: unclassified non-coding RNA, 449 nt
Filed under: Hevea brasiliensis (rubber tree)
Lineage: Eukaryota; Viridiplantae; Streptophyta; Magnoliopsida; Malpighiales; Euphorbiaceae
Source: RNAcentral